UAUUCCCAUUCCGUCAGUAAGAAAAUAGAACCUUGCAAUUUUUUAUCGGUCACUUGUCGAGCAGCUUUUGUUUAAACAUUUAGUGUCAUCACGGAAAUUAGAGCGCGAUAUGGACCUCGAUCCUCUCGAGGAAAAUGAUGAAGGGGAUUUUGAGGGAUGCCAGAUAAAUCUAAGCGAGUUGCGAGUCGAUUAUCGAGAGGUGUCCGACGAAGUCCAACAAUUGCGAUUGGAAAGUGCGAAGUCAAAUGUUGAUGUUGAGAUUGAAAAUGAACCAGAUUUUUCGUGGGAGGAAAAUUCUAAAUCCGAAAGUCAAGAUUUUGAGAACGAAACUAGAGAAGAUGGACGAGUUGAAAAGGCGAUUUCGAAAAUGGAAGAUCUCGAGGGGGCCAUUCAAGAAUUGGACAAGGAAGUUCAGGGGGCGACGAACGAAAGGUUGCAGUGCCAGAUUCAGAAUCGAGUACACUUGAAAAAACUGUUGGAUUCGAAUCCACCGGAAGCUGGAAAACUGGCUGCAAAUACCGCACAAUUUUUCAAGUUAUGUUCGGUGAACGUGGACUUGUCUUUAGAACCUGAUAAUUCGAUCUCACAAAACGUAAAUAAAUCUGUGAAAAAAGAGCGUCAAUUAGAAAGGCCGAAGACGGUGAAUAAAGAGAAUGCAAAGAAACUCGAGAAAAAACCUGUCAAGGAUAAAAAUAUGAAUUUGAUAAAUAGCAGAGGUCAAGUAAGAGAUUUUAAAAAGGCUCUCUUGAUAAAUUCUCACUUGAUAAAUAUUUCACGUUGUUACUUAGAUUCUGGCUAAAAGAAGCAACAAAAAGAGCGUCGACUACGAAAAUGAAAGUACUAAUCCCUUCGUCUUCGAUAAGGAAACCAGAGAAUUGUUGCAAGAGUUGGACCGAAGAACUGCGGUGAGUGAUUUAAUUUUCUCCCAUUGAAUUUAUAAAUAACUAGUAUUUUACAUUAAUUUAAUAACAUAAUUGUACCAUUGUUGAAGCUACUCAAUUCUCAUUUUCUAAGUCGCUCGAUGGAGAGCGAUAAAAAAGACGAUAAAGAAGAGAUUUCUAAAAAUGUCAUUGCAUCGGGAACAUUAAAGACUUCAAUUUCCGGAACAACAAUACGGGAAUUAGUGGAGCAAUAUCGUGAAGAAGUGGCGAGUGUCUUCGAAAACGAAUCGUUAAAUUCGACAGAGAACUCCAGCCCUUUCUUGAAAGUUCCAGAAGGCAUAAUGCCUAAGUAGCAAUAAUUGCUACUUAGAAAUUUGCCAACGACGGAAUUGCCACGAAAUAAUAUUUAGAUCAUUCGAUUUCACAAAUUCAAAGUAAGAUAACUGCGAAUUGAAGGCGUUUUUUCAAGACGCUAUUUUUGAUUUCACGUACCACUGUAGUCAUCGCAUCAUAAAAAUUAAAUGAGGAUAAUGCUAAUAUGUAA
Molecule: unclassified non-coding RNA, 1425 nt
Filed under: Orussus abietinus
Lineage: Eukaryota; Metazoa; Arthropoda; Insecta; Hymenoptera; Orussidae
Description: uncharacterized LOC111674099, transcript variant X1
Source: RNAcentral